This 287-nucleotide ribosomal RNA is filed under the name uncultured bacterium. RNAcentral describes it as "partial 16S ribosomal RNA". It matches the Rfam family "Bacterial small subunit ribosomal RNA", at positions 232 to 509 of the family's 1533-position model. The record is from RNAcentral.
CGCGUCUGAUUAGCUGGUUGGUGAGGUAACGGCCCACCAAGGCCAUGAUCAGUAGCCGGUCUGAGAGGAUGAACGGCCACAUUGGGACUGAGACACGGCCCAAACUCCUACGGGAGGCAGCAGUGGGGAAUCUUCCGCAAUGGGCGAAAGCCUGACGGAGCAACGCCGCGUGAGUGAUGAAGGUCUUCGGAUUGUAAAACCUCUGUUGUCAGGGACGAAAGCAGCGGGGAACAACAAGUCCUGUUGUUGACGGUACCUGACGAGGAAGCCACGGCUAACUACGUGCC